GACGAACGCUGGCGGCGUGCUUAACACAUGCCAGUCGAACGGAAAGGCCCUGCUUUUGUGGGGUGCUCGAGUGGCGAACGGGUGAGUAACACGUGAGUAACCUGCCCUUGACUUUGGGAUAACUUCAGGAAACUGGGGCUAAUACCGGAUAGGAGCUCCUGCUGCAUGGUGGGGGUUGGAAAGUUUCGGCGGUUGGGGAUGGACUCGCGGCUUAUCAGCUUGUUGGUGGGGUAGUGGCUUACCAAGGCUUUGACGGGUAGCCGGCCUGAGAGGGUGACCGGCCACAUUGGGACUGAGAUACGGCCCAGACUCCUACGGGAGGCAGCAGUGGGGAAUAUUGAACAAUGGGCGGAAGCCUGGUGCAGCAACGCCGCGUGCGGGAUGACGGCCUUCGGGUUGUAAACCGCUUUCGCCUGUGACGAAGCGUGAGUGACGGUAAUGGGUAAAGAAGCACCGGCUAACUACGUG
RNAcentral lists this ribosomal RNA (468 nucleotides) under uncultured bacterium. Its description in RNAcentral is "partial 16S ribosomal RNA". It matches the Rfam family "Bacterial small subunit ribosomal RNA", at positions 28 to 507 of the family's 1533-position model. The record is from RNAcentral.